UGGCUGUACCUCUCUUAGACCUCAUUUAAGGGCUGACUACCCCUCUGGAAGGAUUUCUGGUUGGAGAUCUGUCCCUUGUGGAGUUUUUCUCUGUGAGGCUAGAUUGUCUGAGGCAGUAUCAGAAGCAGAUGCUGUGAGACGGAAGUACAGGCUGAAUCUUCCCUAUGAUAUCUGAUUAUCUUUUACUGCCAGACGGAAGGAGAAAGUUAGUCUGACAAAAUGAUGCAUGACAUGAAAGUUUAUCUGAAGCGAAGCAUCAUGCAGCGUACUCAGGAUUAAAGAGUUAAUGCUGCAGUUCCAUGGAAUGUCCGGUCACUGUUUCAUAAGAGAAUGAACAAGCUACAACCCCCAGGAGACCUCAUUUUUUUCCAUUUCCAUUUUCCAUUUGGAGGGAAAGACAAAACUGACUGCGAAUCAUGAGACUGGCUUUUUUGCUCCCUAUUUUCCCUACUCAUCUUGCCUACAGCAUUAGGGUAAGGAUUUCAGUUUUGGAAAAUCUCCCAUUUUAU
Non-coding RNA from Meleagris gallopavo (turkey), 509 nucleotides. NCBI's taxonomy places the organism in Eukaryota, Metazoa, Chordata, Aves, Galliformes, Phasianidae. The record is from RefSeq and is a predicted model, not a curated record.